Molecule: ribosomal RNA, 229 nt
Filed under: uncultured bacterium
Lineage: Bacteria
Description: partial 16S ribosomal RNA
Rfam family: Bacterial small subunit ribosomal RNA
Source: RNAcentral
UGUGUAGGCGGACUAGUAAGUCAGUGGUGAAAUCUUUCGGCUCAACCGAGAAACUGCCAUUGAUACUGUUAGUCUUGAGUUCGGUAGAGGUAGGCGGAAUGUGUAAUGUAGCGGUGAAAUGCUUAGAUAUUACACAGAACACCAAUUGCGUAGGCAGCUUACUAUACCGACACUGACGCUGAGGCACGAAAGCGUGGGGAGCGAACAGGAUUAGAUACCCUGGUAGUCC